CUGUCUCCUUUUUCUAAUCAGUGAAACUAAUCUUCCCGUGAAGAAGCGGGAAUAUCCCCAUAAGACGAGAAGACCCCAUGGAGCUUCAAACCCAAUUACACCCCUAACCCCUAUAACUACUUAACCCUUAGGAUUCUGUAUUAUUGGUUUUAGGUUGGGGCGACCACGGAGUACAACAAAACCUCCACAAUGAACGGAACUACUUCCUCAUCUGAGAGCUACACCUCUAAGAAUUAAAAUAUUAACAUAAAAUGAUCCAUUUUUGAUCAAUGAACCAAGUUACCCUGGGGAUAACAGCGCAAUCCAUUUCAAGAGCCCCUAUCGACAAAUGGG
This 333-nucleotide ribosomal RNA is filed under the name Mantidactylus katae. Its description in RNAcentral is "partial 16S ribosomal RNA". It matches the Rfam family "Bacterial large subunit ribosomal RNA", at positions 2016 to 2516 of the family's 2925-position model. The record is from RNAcentral. Lineage: Eukaryota; Metazoa; Chordata; Amphibia; Anura; Mantellidae.